AAAAACAAAGUAAUAUAAUUAAUAAUUGUACAAGCUUAAACCACAAAAGUGUACGAGAUAAAAAAAUAAGGUCUAAUAUCAGUUCAAUAUUAUAUUCUAGUACAACCAUUUUCAGUUCUAAUUAUAUUCUAGUACAACCAUUUUUUUUUUUUCACACAAUAACAAGUAACAAAAAAUUGUUGAAAAUAUUGUACACAAUAACAAAUAACAAAAAUUGUUAAAAAUAUUCUAGCAUGACCAUGAUAUCGCUCACAACUAUUUACUUAUCAACCAAAACAUCCCUGAAAAAAUCGAAGAAGUUUAACCCUAAUGACCACUAUAUGUUAGUUUGUCAGUCUUUUUUAAGGCAAGGCAAAAAUGAAGGUUCUAUAACAAAUGUAUGCUACAUUAUGAUGAUAUUACAUUUUUAUCUAUAAAAGGAUAUAUAUGUACGCUAUAAAAAAAUAAUGUCUAAUAUCGGUUCAUUAUUAUAUUCUAGUACAACCAUUUUCAGUUCUAAUUAUAUUCUAGUACAACCAUUUUUAUUUUUUUUCACACUAACAAAUAACAAAAAAUUGUUGAAAAUAUUCUACACAAUACCAAAUAACAAAAAAAUGUUGAAAAUAUUCUAGUAUGACCAUGAUAUCGCUCACAACUAUUCACUUAUCAACCAAAACAUCCCUGAAAAAAUCGGAAAAGUUUAACCCUAAUGACCACUAUAUGUUAGUUUGUCAGUCUUUUCUAAGGCAAGGCAAAAAUGAAGGUUCUAUAACAAAUGUAUGCUACAUUAUGAUGAUAUUACAUUUUUAUCUAUAAAAGGAUAUAUGGUGAACCAUCCAGUGCGGAAAAGAAACAAAGGAAGAAUUUUGUACAUACGCGUUAUAGGUCAAUUCUUUGGUGUCUUUGGCCGUG
This 891-nucleotide long non-coding RNA is filed under the name Olea europaea (common olive). RNAcentral's name for it is "long non-coding RNA (OEUR_LNC013937)". The record is from RNAcentral. Lineage: Eukaryota; Viridiplantae; Streptophyta; Magnoliopsida; Lamiales; Oleaceae.